UGAGCUCAGCUGGAAUGAAUUUGUUUCUGUCCCAGAUAGCCUCCUAUAUAGGGCUCUGGUCCAAACUAGUGCACUAUGUAGGAAUCAGGGUGCCAUUUGGGAUCAUCACAGUAUCACUGAAAUGUGCUUUUAAAUGUCUUUGCCAAAUAGGACAUGAAUGAUUAGGUUGGAUUUGAGAAGAGGACAGAGAGUUGUUAACCUUGUUCACACAAUACCUUUAUCUAUUGACACCCUGGGAGUCAGACAGACAGACAGGGAGUCAGACAGACACACAGGGAGUCAGGUAGACACAGACAGACUGGGAGUCAGACAGACACACAGGGAGUCAGGUAGACACAGACAGACUGGGAGUCAGACAGACACACAGGGAGUCAGGUAGACACAGACAGACUGGGAGUCAGACAGACACACAGACAGACUUGGAGUCAGACAGACAGACUGGGAGUCAGACAGACACACAGGGAGUCAGGUAGACACACAGACAGACUUGGAGUCAGACAGACAGACUGGGAGUCAGACAGACACACAGGGAGUCAGGUAGACACACAGACAGACUUGGAGUCAGACAGACAGACUGGGAGUCAGACAGACACACAGACAGACUUGGAGUCAGAAGGACAGACUGGGAGUCAGUCAGGAAGUCAGACAGACAGACUUGGAGUCAGUCAGGAAGUCAGACAGACAGACUGGGAGUCAGACAGGAAGUCAGACAGACAGACAGGAAGUCAGACAGCGGACCAGGAAGCUGUGGUAUUACAGUUUAUUUGUUGUUUUGGAAGGUAAAGUGCAUAGUUGAAGCCCUUCCUCUCUGUUAGACCUGUUCCCUGUAUAGUGGUACUACUAUAGACCCUGUUCCCUAUAUAGUGGUACUACUAUAGACCCUGUUCCCUAUAUAGUGGUACUACUAUAGACCCUAUUCCCUAUAUAGUGGUACUACUAUAGACCCUGUUCCCUAUAUAGUGGUACUAUUAUAGACCCUGUUCCCUAUAUAGUGGUACUACUAUAGACCAGAGACCUGUUCCCUAUAUAGUGGUACUACUAUAGACCAGAGCCUAUUCCCUAUAUAGUACACUACUAUAGACCAGAGCCCUAUUCCCUAUAUAGUACACUACUAUAGACCAGAGACCUGUUCCCUAUAUAGUACACUACUAUAGACCAGAGCCCUAUUCCCUAAAUAGUACACUACUAUAGACCAGAGUCCUAUUCCCUAUAUAGUACACUACUAUAGAUCAGAGCCCUAUUCCCUAUAUAGUGGUACUACUUUAGACCAGAGCCCUAUUCCCUAUAUAGUGGUACUACUAUAGACCAGAGCCCUAUUCCCUAUAUAUGGUACUACUAUAGACCCUAUUCCCUAUAUAGUGGUACUACUUUAGACCAGAGCCCUAUUCCCUAUAUAGUGGUACUACUAUAGACCAGAGCCCUAUUCCCUAUAUAGUGGUACUACUAUAGACCAGAGCCCUAUUCCCUAUAUAGUGGUACUACUUUAGACCAGAGUCCCAUUCCCUAUAUAGUGAACUACUAGUCCUGGUCAAAGUAGUGAACUAUAUCCAGGGGCUCCCGAGCGACGCGGCGGUCUAAGGCACGUGAGGCGUCACUACAGACACCCCGGUUCGAAUCCAGGCUGUAUGGCAACCGGCCGUGAUUGGGAGUCCCACCGGGCGGCGAACAAUUGGCCCGGCGUCGUCCCGGUUUGGCCGGUGUAGACCGUUGUUGUAAAUAAUCAUGUAUUCUUAACUGAUUUACCAAGUUAAAUAAAAGUUACAUUAAAAUAAACUGUAUAUAGGGAAUAGGGUGCCUAAGUAGUGCACUAUACUGUACAUAGGGAAUAGGGUGCCUAAGUAGUGCACUAUACUGUAUAUAGGGAAUAGGGUACCUAAGUAGUGCACUAUACUGUACAUAGGGAAUAGGGUACCUAAGUAGUGCACUAUACUGUAUAUGGGGAAUAGGGUGCCUAAGUAGUGCACUAUACUGUAUAUUGGGAAUAGGGUGCCUAAGUAGUGCACUAUACUGUAUAUAGGGAAUAGGGUGCCUAAGUAGUGCACUAUACUGUAUAUAGGGAAUAGGGUGCCUAAGUAGUGCACUAUACUGUAUAUAGGGAAUAG
Molecule: long non-coding RNA, 2102 nt
Organism: Oncorhynchus tshawytscha (Chinook salmon)
Lineage: Eukaryota; Metazoa; Chordata; Actinopteri; Salmoniformes; Salmonidae
Source: Ensembl